GGCGUGAGAGCGUGACCCCCCACACUGGCACUGAGACACGGGCCAGACUUCUGCGGAAGGCAGCAGUGAGGAAUAUUGCGCAAUGGGCGAAAGCCAGACGCAGCAACGCCGCGUGGGUGAUGAAGGCCUUCGGGUCGUAAAACCCUUUAGUGAGGGAAGAGUAAGGACGGUACCCCAAGAAUAAGCGUCGGCUAACUACGUGCCAGCAGCCGCGGUAAAACGUAGGACGCGAGCGUUAUCCGGAUUUACUGGGCGUAAAGAGCGUUGAGGCGGUUCCGUAAGUUGGACGUGAAAGCUCCCGGCUCAACUGGGAGAGGCCGUUCAAUACUGCGGGACUUGAGGACAGCAGAGGGGGGUGGAAUACCCGGUGUAGUGGUGAAAUGCGUAAGAUAUCGGGAGGAACACCAGUGGCGAAGGCGGCCCCCUGGGCUGAUCCUGACGCUGGAGCCGAAAGCUAGGGGAGCGAACGGGAUUAGAAACCCCGGUAGUCCUAGCCGUUAACGAUGGAUACUAGGUGUGGGAGGCGAAAAAACCUUCCGUGCCGUAGCUAACGCGCUAAGUAUCCCGCCUGGGGACUACGGCCGCAAGGCUAAAACUCAAAGGAAUUGACGGGAGCCCGCACAAGCAGCGGAGCGUGUGGUUUAAUUCGAUGCUACGCGAAGAACCUUACCAGGGCUUGACAUGCAAGUAGUAGUGAAGCGAAAGCGGAACGACCCUUCGGGGAGCUUGCACAGGUGCUGCAUGGCUGUCGUCAGCUCGUGCCGUGAGGUGUUAGGUUAAGUCCUGUAACGAGCGCAACCCCUACUGUCAGUUACAUGUGUCUGGCGGGACUGCCCGGCUCAACCGGGCGGGAGGUGGGGAUGACGUCAAGUCAGCAUGGCCUUUAUGUCCUGGGCUACACACACGCUACAAUGGCCGGUACAAUGGGUAGCCAAGCCGCGAGGCGGAGCCAAUCCUCCAAAGCCGGUCUCAGUUCGAAUUGUAGGCUGCAACUCGCAUACAUGAAGCUGGAGUUGCUAGUAACCGCAGGUCAGCCACACUCCGGUGAAUACGUUCCCGGGCUUUGUACACACCGCCCGUCACGUCAUGGGAGUCGGCAACACCUGAAGCCGGUGGCCCAACCGAAAGGAGGCAGCCGUCGAA
RNAcentral lists this ribosomal RNA (1143 nucleotides) under uncultured organism. RNAcentral's name for it is "bacterial SSU rRNA". It matches the Rfam family "Bacterial small subunit ribosomal RNA", at positions 289 to 1460 of the family's 1533-position model. The record is from RNAcentral.